This 894-nucleotide ribosomal RNA is filed under the name uncultured bacterium. RNAcentral's name for it is "bacterial SSU rRNA". It matches the Rfam family "Bacterial small subunit ribosomal RNA", at positions 505 to 1398 of the family's 1533-position model. The record is from RNAcentral.
GUGUCGGCCGCCGCGGUAAUACAGAGGGUGCGAGCGUUAAUCGGAAUUACUGGGCGUAAAGCGCACGUAGGUGGAUAUAUAAGUCGGAUGUGAAAAGCCUGGGCUCAACCUGGGUCUGUCAUUCGAGACUGUAUAACUAGAGUAUAGUAGAGGGAAGUGGAAUUUCCGGUGUAGCGGUGAAAUGCGUAGAUAUCGGAAGGAACACCAGUGGCGAAGGCGGCUUCCUGGACUAAUACUGACACUGAGGAGCGAAAGCGUGGGGAGCAAACAGGAUUAGAUACCCUGGUAGUCCACGCUGUAAACGAUGAGGACUAGCUGUUGGGAUGUGAAAUAUUUUAGUGGCGAAGCAAACGCGAUAAGUUCUCCGCCUGGGGAGUACGGCCGCAAGGCUAAAACUCAAAGGAAUUGACGGGGGCCCGCGCAAGCGGUGGAGCAUGUGGUUUAAUUCGAUGCAACGCGAAGAACCUUACCUACCCUUGACAUCCUAGGAAGGUUGUAGAGAUACGACUGUGCCUUCGGGAGCCUAGUGACAGGUGCUGCAUGGCUGUCGUCAGCUCAUGUCGUGAGAUGUUGGGUUAAGUCCCGUAACGAGCGCAACCCUUAUUCUUAGUUACUAACGAGUUAAGUCGAGUACUUUAAGGAGACUGCCGGUGAUAAACCGGAGGAAGGUGAGGACGACGUCAAGUCAUCAUGGCCCUUAUGGGUAGGGCUACACACGUGCUACAAUGGUCGGUACAGAGGGAAACGAAGCUGCGAGGUGGAGUAAAUCUCAGAAAACCGAUCUCAGUCCGGAUUGGAGUCUGCAACUCGACUCCAUGAAGCUGGAAUCGCUAGUAAUCGCGAAUCAGCAUGUCGCGGUGAAUACGUUCUCGGGCCUUGCACACACCGCCCGUC